Molecule: ribosomal RNA, 901 nt
Filed under: uncultured archaeon
Lineage: Archaea
Description: bacterial SSU rRNA
Rfam family: Archaeal small subunit ribosomal RNA
Source: RNAcentral
UUCUGGUUGAUCCUGCCGGACCUGACUGCUAUCGGAUUGAUACUAAGCCAUGCGAGUCUUUGUAGUAAUACAAGGCAUACGGCUCAGUAACGCGUAGUCAACCUACCCUAUGGACAAGAAUAAUCUCGGGAAACUGAGCAUAAUUCCUGGUAGAUCAUAAUGCCUGGAAUGGUUUAUGGUUAAAAUGAUUCGUCGCCAUAGGAUGGGACUGCGGCCUAUCAGCUUGUUGGUGAGGUAAUGGCCCACCAAGGCGAUUACAGGUACGGGCUCUGAGAGGAGAAGCCCGGAGAUGGGUACUGAGACAAGGACCCAGGCCCUAUGGGGCGCAGCAGGCGAGAAAACUUUGCAAUGUGCGAAAGCACGACAAGGUUAGUCCGAGUGAUUUCUGCUAAAGAGAUCUUUUGCUAGUUAUAAAACCACUAGUGAAUAAGGGGUGGGCAAGUUCUGGUGUCAGCCGCCGCGGUAAAACCAGCACCUCAAGUGGUCAGGAUGAUUAUUGGGCCUAAAGCAUCCGUAGCCGGCUCUGUAAGUUUUCGGUUAAAUCUAUGCGCUCAACGUAUGGGCUGCCGAAAAUACUGCAGAGAUAGGGAGUGGGAGAGGUAGACGGUACUCGGUAGGAAGGGGUAAAAUCCUUUGAUCUAUCGAUGACCACCUGUGGCGAAGGCGGUCUACCAGAACACGUUCGACGGUGAGGGAUGAAAGCUGGGGGAGCAAACCGGAUUAGAUACCCGGGUAGUCCCAGCUGUAAACGAUGCAGACUCGAUGAUGCAUUGGCAUAUAGCCAGUGCAGUGUCGCAGGGAAGCCGUUAAGUCUGCCGCCUGGGAAGUACGUACGCAAGUAUGAAACUUAAAGGAAUUGGCGGGGGAGCACCACAAGGGGUGAAGCCUGCGGUUCAAUUGG